AGUGAACGCUGGCGGUAGGCCUAACGCAUGCAAGUCGAACGGCAGCACAGGAGAGCUUGCUCUCUGGGUGGCGAGUGGCGGACGGGUGAGGAAUACAUCGGAAUCUACUUUUUCGUGGGGGAUAACGUAGGGAAACUUACGCUAAUACCGCAUACAACCUACGGGUGAAAGCAGGGGACCUUCGGGCCUUGCGCGAUUGAAUGAGCCGAUGUCGGAUUAGCUAGUUGGCGGGGUAAAGGCCCACCAAGGCGACGAUCCGUAGCUGGUCUGAGAGGAUGAUCAGCCACACUGGAACUGAGACACGGUCCAGACUCCCACGGGAGGCAGCAGUGGGGAAUAUUGGACAAUGGGCGCAAGCCUGAUCCAGCCAUACCGCGUGGGUGAAGAAGGCCUUCGGGUUGUAAAGCCCUUUCGUUGGGAAAGAAAUCCAGCUGGCUAAUACCCGGUUGGGAUGACGGUACCCAAAGAAUAAGCACCGGCUAACUUCGUGCCAGCCGCCGCCGUAA
RNAcentral lists this ribosomal RNA (506 nucleotides) under uncultured bacterium. Its description in RNAcentral is "partial 16S ribosomal RNA". It matches the Rfam family "Bacterial small subunit ribosomal RNA", at positions 29 to 523 of the family's 1533-position model. The record is from RNAcentral.